RNAcentral lists this ribosomal RNA (403 nucleotides) under uncultured bacterium. Its description in RNAcentral is "partial 16S ribosomal RNA". It matches the Rfam family "Bacterial small subunit ribosomal RNA", at positions 30 to 526 of the family's 1533-position model. The record is from RNAcentral.
AUUGAACGCUGGCGGCAGGCCUAACACAUGCAAGUCGAGCGAGCGGCGGAAGGGUGAGUAAUGUAUGGGGACUGCCCGAUAGAGGGGGAUAACUACUGGAAUCGGUAGCUAAUACCGCAUACUAUCGGAUAACCCAUAUGGGAUUAGCUAGUAGGGGAGGUAAUGGCUCACCUAGGCGACGAUCCCUAGCUGGUCUGAGAGGAUGAUCAGCCACACUGGGACUGAGACACGGCCCAGACUCCUACGGAGGCAGCAGUGGGGAAUAUGGCACAAUGGGCGAGAGCCUGAUGCAGCCAUGCCGCGUGUAUGAAGAAGGCCCUAGGGUUGUAAAGUACUUGCAGUCGGGAGGCGUUACCGACAGAAGAAGCACCGGCUGAUUCCGUGCCAGCAGCCGCGGUGAUAC